Molecule: non-coding RNA, 156 nt
Filed under: Rhizorhapis suberifaciens (corky root of lettuce)
Lineage: Bacteria; Pseudomonadati; Pseudomonadota; Alphaproteobacteria; Sphingomonadales; Sphingomonadaceae
Description: Sphingomonas suberifaciens (corky root of lettuce) 6S / SsrS RNA
Rfam family: 6S / SsrS RNA
About the family: E. coli 6S RNA was the first non coding RNA to be sequenced, but its function was unknown until recently. It consists of 184 nucleotides that fold into an extended hairpin structure with a large single-stranded internal bulge. The 6S RNA specifically associates with RNA polymerase holoenzyme containing the sigma70 specificity factor.
Source: Rfam by way of RNAcentral
CGGGUACUGCCUGGUACGAGCUUUAGCGAACAUCCCUGAGGCGAUAUCACAUCCAAGGGAGCUGUCCCUGCCCGGGUUCCGGCCUGGAUUACACGGCACCCACCUGACGUUGAGGCGUCAGAGGAUAUUCCAGCAAACGGCCGAGGCGGUCCCGUC